Molecule: ribosomal RNA, 164 nt
Filed under: uncultured bacterium
Lineage: Bacteria
Description: partial 16S rRNA
Rfam family: Bacterial small subunit ribosomal RNA
Source: RNAcentral
UAGGGAGUCUUCCACAAUGGACGCAAGUCUGAUGGAGCAACGCCGCGUGAGUGAAGAAGGUCUUCGGAUCGUAAAACUCUGUUGUUAGAGAAGAACACGAGUGAGAGUAACUGUUCAUUCGAUGACGGUAUCUAACCAGCAAGUCACGGCUAACUACUUGCCUG